GACGAACGCUGGCGGCGUGCCUAAUACAUGCAAGUCGAACGCUUUUUCUUUCACCGGAGCUUGCUCCACCGAAAGAAAAAGAGUGGCGAACGGGUGAGUAACACGUGGGUAACCUGCCCAUCAGAAGGGGAUAACACUUGGAAACAGGUGCUAAUACCGUAUAACACUAUUUUCCGCAUGGAAGAAAGUUGAAAGGCGCUUUUGCGUCACUGAUGGAUGGACCCGCGGUGCAUUAGCUAGUUGGUGAGGUAACGGCUCACCAAGGCAACGAUGCAUAGCCGACCUGAGAGGGUGAUCGGCCACACUGGGGCUGAGACACGGCCCAGACUCCUACGGGAGGCAGCAGUAGGGAAUCUUCGGCAAUGGACGAAAGUCUGACCGAGCAACGCCGCGUGAGUGAAGAAGGUUUUCGGAUCGUAAAACUCUGUUGUUAGAGAAGAACAAGGAUGAGAGUAAAACGUUCAUCCCUUG
This 471-nucleotide ribosomal RNA is filed under the name Enterococcus casseliflavus. RNAcentral's name for it is "bacterial SSU rRNA". It matches the Rfam family "Bacterial small subunit ribosomal RNA", at positions 28 to 471 of the family's 1533-position model. Lineage: Bacteria; Bacillati; Bacillota; Bacilli; Lactobacillales; Enterococcaceae. The record is from RNAcentral.